AAUAGGCUUGGUCCUGGCCUUUCUAUUAGCUCUUAGCAGGAUUACACAUGCAAGCAUCCCCGCUCCAGUGAAGACGCCCUAUAAAUCAUCAUGACCAAGAGGAGCAAGCAUCAAGCACGCACACGCAGCUCAAAACGCUUUGCCUAGCCACACCCCCACGGGAGACAGCAGUGACAAGUAUUUAGCAAUAAACGAAAGUUCAACUAAGCCAUGCUAUAUUUAGGGUUGGUCAAUUUCGUGCCAGCCACCGCGGUUACACGAUUAACCCCAGCUAAUAGGGAUCGGCGUAGAGGGUGUUUAAGAUCUAACAUAAUAAAGCUAAACUCCACCUAAACUGUAAAACCCUAGCUAAUGUAAAAUAAACUACGAAAGUGGCUUUAAAGCUUCUGAACACACAAUAGCCAAGACCCAAACUGGGAUUAGACACCCCACUAUGCUUGGCCCUAAACCUCAGUAGUUAGAUAACAAAACUACUCGCCAGAAUACUACAAGCAACAGCUUAAAACUCAAAGGACUUGACGGUGCUUUACAUCCCCCUAGAGGAGCCUGUUCCGUAAUCGAUAAACCCCGAUCCACCCUACCCUCUCUUGCUCAGCCUAUAUACCGCCAUCUUCAGCAAACCCUAAUGAGGGCCACAAAGUGAGCGCAAACGCCGUCGCCGCGAAUACGUUAGGUCAAGGUGUAGCCCAUGAGACGGUAAAAAAUGGGCUACAUUUUCUAUUUCAGAAAACCCACGAAAACCCUUAUGAAACUUAGGGGUCCAAGGAGGAUUUAGCAGUAAAUUAAGAAUAGAGUGCUUAAUUGAACCAGGCCAUAAAGCGCGCACACACCGCCCGUCACUCCUCUCAAAUAUAUUUAAGGAAUAUCCUAACUAAACGCCCUAAUAUUUAUAUAGAGAGGAUAAGUCGUAACAUGGUAAGCGUACUGGAAGGUGCGCUUGGA
RNAcentral lists this non-coding RNA (942 nucleotides) under Macaca fascicularis (crab-eating macaque). Its description in RNAcentral is "12S ribosomal RNA". It matches the Rfam family "Archaeal small subunit ribosomal RNA". Lineage: Eukaryota; Metazoa; Chordata; Mammalia; Primates; Cercopithecidae. The record is from RNAcentral.